RNAcentral lists this long non-coding RNA (1469 nucleotides) under Sus scrofa (pig). RNAcentral's name for it is "lncRNA (ENSSSCG00030015144.1)". Lineage: Eukaryota; Metazoa; Chordata; Mammalia; Artiodactyla; Suidae. The record is from RNAcentral.
UCAAAAGAUAAACUCCAAGCAUGCCAGUGUAUGAGGAAGAGUAUUUCGUGAAGACUGGAUUUCCUCAGUGACUUACAGUGGAAACAGAGACAGGAGGUCAUGAAAAUUAGUUGCUAGCCUCCCACUAGCCUGAGAGGAGUGGGCUAUACUCCAGGGCAUUGGACAAAUAACUGAACAUCACUUAACCAUUUCAAACUAAGGCAAAAUGCACUGGAACGCCUGCCCGAUUCCGCACUUCACACCCCUUCCUCUGGAGUAUCUUCAGGAUUCCAGCCUGAGUCCCUGACCUCUGAGCCUCACCCACAGAACACUCUCCUCAGAGGUCCCCUAGGACAAAGGCCAUGCCACCUUCCGGUUGCGGUGACUGGGGGACGCUGCUUGGUUUCCUGGCAACUACUGCUCUGUUUUUUACCUGUGGCUCCAGAGGAAGUCAGAAACCUGUCCAGCCCAGAUCUCCGUGAACGCCUCUGCUGCAGCUCACCUAACCCGGCCAGGGACCAGGAGCCCAUGGAAAGCAAUGAUGAGUACUGAGGAAAGAUGUAGGGAUGAGGUCUAGAGCACCCAUCUGAAGAUUUAGGCAGUGCUUAUUUUUUAAAUUAAGAGCACCUCGGAACACGUCUCAGAGGCAAAGAUUCCUCUGCUGUCUAUUUAGAGGUGAAGAAAGAACAGCCCACAGCAGCCUCAGCUGAGCAGCAGUAAAAGGAACCUGUAGUUGGAGCUCUUCUUAAGAAGUCUGAAAAUCAGGAGUUCCCAUCGUGGCACGCGGAAACAAAUCCGACUAGGAACCAUGAGGUUGAGGGUUCAAUCCCUGGCCUUGCUCAGGGGGUUGGGGAUCCGGCGUUGCUGUGAGCUGUGGUGUAGGUCACAGACAUGGCUUGGAUCUGGCAUUGCUGUGGCUGUGGGGUAGGCUGACAGUUGUAGCUCCGAUUAGACCUCUAGCCUGGGACCCUGCAUAUGCUGCAGGUGCGGCCCUAAAAAGACAAAAAAAAAAAAAGUCUGAAAAUCAGAUAAUAACAGAUCUUCAGACUUGGUAAUGGUAUUUAUUCUGGAGCUGAAUCUCAGCUUCUGCUUUCAAAUGGUGCAUGUGCUCCCCAAUUAACCACAGUAUCUGCCGCUUGGUAUUGUUUCCUUGAAUCUGAGCCAAGUGACAGCUGCCAUUUAGUCCCUCAAACAUCCAAUUAUUUACUCACAAUAGACUUAAGAAAAGAGUGCCUCUUUUACCCAUGUCUCUGGCAAAAGUAGGAAAAUAAAAGACAGAAAAAGAAGAGUCUGUGGUUUCAAGAAGAGAUCAUUUCCUUGUAAAAGUAAAAAGUAUUCGUAUAUAUAUGCAAAUAAAGUGUGUCUUUGUUGAUUAAAUACAAAUAAAGAUACCAUUAUAAAACAUAUUAUAGCAAGAAUUAUGAUAGGCUAGAGGAAGAUGCAUGUUGAAGAAAUUAAUGAACUAAAAAAAUAAAGAACUGAACUUUAAA